GACGAACGCUGGCGGCGUGCCUAAUACAUGCAAGUAGAACGCUGAAGGAGGAGCUUGCUCUUCUGGAUGAGUUGCGAACGGGUGAGUAACGCGUAGGUAACCUGCCUGGUAGCGGGGGAUAACUAUUGGAAACGAUAGCUAAUACCGCAUAAGAGUAGAUGUUGCAUGACAUUUGCUUAAAAGGUGCAAUUGCACCACUACCAGAUGGACCUGCGUUGUAUUAGCUAGUUGGUGGGGUAACGGCUCACCAAGGCGACGAUACAUAGCCGACCUGAGAGGGUGAUCGGCCACACUGGGACUGAGACACGGCCCAGACUCCUACGGGAGGCAGCAGUAGGGAAUCUUCGGCAAUGGACGGAAGUCUGACCGAGCAACGCCGCGUGAGUGAAGAAGGUUUUCGGAUCGUAAAGCUCUGUUGUAAGAGAAGAACGAGUGUGAGAGUGGAAAGUUCACACUGUGACGGUAUCUACCA
This 472-nucleotide ribosomal RNA is filed under the name Streptococcus sp. oral taxon 064. RNAcentral describes it as "bacterial SSU rRNA". It matches the Rfam family "Bacterial small subunit ribosomal RNA", at positions 28 to 485 of the family's 1533-position model. Lineage: Bacteria; Bacillati; Bacillota; Bacilli; Lactobacillales; Streptococcaceae. The record is from RNAcentral.